AUACGGAGGAUGCGAGCGUUAUCCGGAUUUAUUGGGUUUAAAGGGAGCGUAGGUGGGAUAUUAAGUCAGCUGUGAAAGUUUGGGGCUCAACCUUAAAAUUGCAGUUGAUACUGGUUUCCUUGAGUACGGUACAGGUGGGCGGAAUUCGUGGUGUAGCGGUGAAAUGCUUAGAUAUCACGAAGAACUCCGAUCGCGAAGGCAGCUCACCGGGCCGGAACUGACACUGAUGCUCGAAAGUGCGGGUAUCAAACAGGAUUAGAUACCCUGGUAGUCCGCGCAGUAAACGAUGAAUACUCGCUGUUUGCGAUACACUGUAAGCGGCCAAGCGAAAGCGUUAAGUAUUCCACCUGGGGAGUACGCCGGCAACGGUGAAACUCAAAUGAAUUGACGGGG
This 393-nucleotide ribosomal RNA is filed under the name uncultured bacterium. Its description in RNAcentral is "partial 16S ribosomal RNA". It matches the Rfam family "Bacterial small subunit ribosomal RNA", at positions 523 to 918 of the family's 1533-position model. The record is from RNAcentral.